AAUGGCUUCGCGGAUUUGUUGGAAACGAAGGUCUUUGUCCUUUUUUGUUUUUUUACAUUGAAUUUGAAUACGGGAGAGGGCCAAGGGCCCGAAAUGGGAUUGGAGAGGCGCUUCCAAAAGACACCAUACCAUCUCAGCUCUCUAUAUAAAGCUGGCGAUAGCCUUUUCUAAAAAAAAAGAGAGGAUGGCAGGGGGAUUAGCCGUGAUUAUAGCCCACAUGUUGGCACCUCCGAUUAUUUCAGGAGCGCUUGAGAGAAAGUUACAUCCACUGAUUUUCUCAUUCAAAUUGGCUGU
RNAcentral lists this long non-coding RNA (294 nucleotides) under Brachypodium distachyon (stiff brome). RNAcentral describes it as "long non-coding RNA (BDIS_LNC002300)". The record is from RNAcentral. Lineage: Eukaryota; Viridiplantae; Streptophyta; Magnoliopsida; Poales; Poaceae.